Small nuclear RNA from Heterocephalus glaber (naked mole-rat), 168 nucleotides. Its record names the gene U2. It matches the Rfam family "U2 spliceosomal RNA". From Rfam's summary of the family: U2 is a small nuclear RNA (snRNA) component of the spliceosome (involved in pre-mRNA splicing). Complementary binding between U2 snRNA (in an area lying towards the 5' end but 3' to hairpin I) and the branchpoint sequence (BPS) of the intron results the bulging out of an unpaired adenosine, on the BPS, which initiates a nucleophilic attack at the intronic 5' splice site, thus starting the first of two transesterification reactions that mediate splicing. The record is from Ensembl. NCBI's taxonomy places the organism in Eukaryota, Metazoa, Chordata, Mammalia, Rodentia, Bathyergidae.
AUCACUUCUUGGCCUUUUGGCUAAGAUCAAGUGUAAUAUCUGAGGCUCAGUAUACAGAUAAUGUCCUGGAAAAUGACUAACAGCUCCCAAGUUUUCUACCUUGAAAGUAGAAAAGUGAGGGCAUAGCUUUCUUCUAUCAUGUGAUACAGAAGAUAAAAGUGUCAAUUU